Molecule: long non-coding RNA, 720 nt
Organism: Papaver somniferum (opium poppy)
Lineage: Eukaryota; Viridiplantae; Streptophyta; Magnoliopsida; Ranunculales; Papaveraceae
Exons: 2
Source: RefSeq, a predicted model, not a curated record
CUCCACCAUGUGAUUUCUAACGCGGAAAGGCUAAUUAGUGACUGUAGAGAAUGGACCAACUUUACCAAAUUGGCAUUACAUAAUCAACAAGUAAGAAGACUGACACUACUACUGAUACUUCUCUAGAUCAACAUCAUACAAGUCAGUUUCUGGAAUCCUCUUUCUUUGAACUUUCUCAAACCUUAUUAAUUAAGGUUUUGGUGGAGUUGUUAUUGUUAUAAAUACAAUCCCAACCACUCCAUUCAUCAUCUUAAGAGAAGUUGUUCAAUUUAUUGGUCUAAGAAUUGUGUUUCUUUUGUGAUUAAUUCUUAAGUUUAAGUGCAAGUGUAGCCAAGAGUUUUGCUAAUAGAUCAAGAUGAGUGAUCCCAAGUAUGCUUAUCCAUAUCCUGCUCAAGGUUACUAUCAAGGUCCUCCUGUAAUGGCACCACCACAAUAUUAUGCUCCACCACCAAGAAGAGAACCUGGUUUCAUUGAAGGAUGCCUUGCUGCUUUGUGUUGUUGCUGUCUCAUUGAUGAAUGCUGCUGUGAUCCUUCCAUCAUUUGUUUCUUUUAGUAUAAAAACAAGUACUAGUAGUGAAUUUACUAAGACUCCGUUUCAGUUUGUGUAUUGAAUUUGUGAUGGGGUUUGCUAUUGAGUUUUAAAAAACACUACUUCUUAUAAAUCUUUGGGUUGUCUUCAGAGCGUCUAAAGUUAAAUUUUGUGACCAAUUGUUUGCGGAA